AGGAGGAGGGGGCGGUGGGCGCAGCCGGCCGGGCCGCGGCCGCUCCGAGGUGAACGGCGCCGAGACGGGCUCGCGGCGCGGGGAGGCCGGGCGCGCCGCCGCUAUGAAUUCCGCCGAGCAGACCGUUACGUGGCUCAUUACCUUGGGGGUGCUGGAGUCGCCCAAGAAAACCAUCUCGGACCCGGAGGGCUUCCUGCAGGCGUCUCUGAAGGAUGGGGUGGUCCUCUGCAGGCUGCUGGAGCGCCUGCUGCCCGGGACCAUCGAGAAAGUCUACCCGGAGCCCCGGAGCGAGGGCGAGUGCCUGAGCAACAUCCGCGAGUUCCUGCGAGGCUGCGGGGCGUCCCUGCGCCUGGAGACAUUUGAUGCAAACGAUUUGUAUCAGGGGCAGAAUUUCAACAAGGUCCUCAGCUCCUUAGUGACUCUAAAUAAAGUAACAGCAGACAUCGGCCUGGGAAGUGACUCCGUGUGUGCCCGGCCCUCCUCUCACCGGAUCAAGUCUUUUGACUCCCUGGGACCCCAGCCUUCGCACGGUCGGACUUCAAAAUUGUUCCAGGGCCAGUAUCGGAGUUUGGACAUGACGGAUAAUAGCAACAAUCAGCUGGUCGUAAGAGCCAAGUUUAACUUCCAGCAGACGAAUGAAGACGAGCUGUCCUUUGCGAAAGGCGACGUCAUCCACGUCACGCGGGUGGAGGAAGGGGGCUGGUGGGAGGGCACGCACAGCGGCAGGACCGGCUGGUUCCCCAGCAACUACGUGCGCGAGAUCAAGCCCAGCGAAAAGCCCGUGUCACCCAAAUCUGGAGCCUUGAAGAGCCCUCCCAAAGGAUUUGAUACAACUGCCAUUAACAAAAGCUAUUACAACGUGGUGCUACAGAAUAUUUUGGAAACAGAAAAUGAAUAUUCUAAAGAACUUCAGACUGUGCUUUCAACCUAUCUACGGCCACUGCAGACCACUGAGAAGUUAAGUUCAGCAAACACUGCAUAUUUAAUGGGAAAUCUAGAAGAAAUAUGUUCUUUCCAGCAAAUGCUUGUACAGUCUUUAGAAGAAUGUACCAAGAUGCCUGAAGCUCAGCAGAGAGUCGGAGGCUGCUUUCUAAACCUGAUGCCGCAGAUGAAGACCUUGUACCUUGCGUAUUGUGCCAACCACCCGUCUGCAGUGAGCGUCCUCACGGAGCACAGUGAAGAGCUGGGCGAGUUCAUGGAGAUGAAGGGCGCCAGCAGCCCAGGCAUUCUCGUGCUGACCACCGGCCUCAGCAAGCCGUUCAUGCGCCUGGACAAGUACCCUGCGCUGCUCAAGGAGCUGGAGAGACACAUGGAGGAUUAUCAUCCAGAUAGACAAGAUAUUCAGAAAUCCAUGACUGCCUUCAAAAACCUUUCAGCGCAGUGUCAGGAAGUACGGAAAAGGAAGGAGCUGGAGCUGCAGAUCCUGACGGAAGCCAUCCGGAGCUGGGAGGGGGAUGACAUUAAGACCCUGGGCAACGUCAUUUACAUGUCCCAGGUCCUGAUUCAGUGCGCUGGGAGCGAGGAAAAGAAUGAACGAUAUCUUCUGCUCUUCCCAAAUAUUUUGCUAAUGUUGUCUGCCAGUCCUAGGAUGAGUGGUUUUAUAUACCAGGGAAAGCUACCAACGACAGGAAUGACAAUCACAAAGCUUGAGGACAGUGAAAAUCAUAGAAAUGCAUUUGAAAUAUCAGGGAGCAUGAUUGAGCGGAUCUUAGUGUCCUGCAGCAACCAGCAGGACCUGCACGAGUGGGUGGACCAUCUGCAGAAGCAGACGAAGGUCACCUCUGCGGGAAACCCCACCAUUAAGCCUCACUCUGUGCCGUCUCACACCCUCCCCUCCCACUCGGUCACCCCGUCCAGCAAGCAUGCGGACAGCAAGCCCGUGCCGCUGACGCCCGCCUACCACACGCUGCCUCACCCCUCGCACCACGGCACUCCACACACCACCAUCAACUGGGGGCCCCUGGAGCCUCCGAAGACCCCCAAGCCCUGGAGCCUGAGCUGCCUGCGACCCGCACCCCCUCUCCGGCCCUCAGCUGCGCUCUGCUACAAGGAGGAUCUCAGCAAGAGUCCCAAGACCAUGAAAAAGCUGCUCCCCAAGCGCAAGCCCGAGCGGAAGCCUUCGGACGAGGAGUUUGCGCUGAGGAAAAGCACGGCUGCGCUGGAGGAGGAUGCCCAGAUCCUGAAGGUCAUCGAGGCUUACUGCACCAGCGCCAAGACGCGGCAGACGCUCAACUCAACAUGGCAAGGCACUGACCUGAUGCAUAAUCACGUCUUGGCUGAUGACGACCAGUCAAGUCUAGACUCCCUGGGUCGUCGCAGCAGCCUUUCUCGUUUGGAGCCUUCAGACCUCUCGGAAGACUCUGACUAUGACAGUAUAUGGACAGCCCAUAGUUACAGGAUGGGUUCUACAUCUCGUUCACGCAAAGAAUCUGCGCCACAAGUUUUGCUUCCAGAAGAAGAGAAAAUUAUAGUUGAAGAAACUAAAAGUAACGGUCAGACAGUGAUAGAAGAAAAGAGUCUCGUCGACACCGUGUAUGCACUAAAGGAUGAAGUCCAGGAGUUACGACAGUUACAAGUGGGGGCCCUAGGCCUGCUCCGUCUGUGAUUUGUCUUGGUGCCCAGGAGCAGCUCUGCAUCCGUCAGACACUGGGGGGUCCUGGUCACCGCACCCCUGGCCGCGGCGCAGGGCGGUCCCAGCCCAGGAUUUCUUCCAGAUAACAAGAAGAUGAAGAAGUCUCUGGAGGAGGAGCAGAGAGCCCGCAAAGACCUGGAAAAGCUGGUGAGGAAGGUUCUAAAGAACAUGAACGACCCCGCUUGGGACGAGACCAACCUCUAAGGAACGUUCUCGAAGACCGGUUACGAGACCAAGCUGGAGCCCCGUGACCACACCCGAGGGACUCUCAGGACCACAGAGCAGGGCUGCACGGGAGUCUCUUGCCUCCUGUGCGUAGAAAAGCUGCAGCUGAUCACGGCCGUGGCGUUCCUGAAGAACCAGUGUGAGGUGCAGACGCCGAGGCCAGACUGCGCUGCCUUCCUCUCAACAUCUCAGUACCUCAUUCUGCAAUAAGUGCAGUGACUGCGUCUGGUCUUUCAGGCUUUGAUUGAAUAUAUAUAAAUGUUAUAUAUACGUUGCCUGUAAAUGCUCCCUUUUGAAUGCGUAUCCGUGGUUGCUGUGUCGGGGCUCAUGCCUGUGCUGCAGUCUCCCUCCACUAACCUCUCGGGUUCCGUGCACUGGGACGCGUGCUCACGCACUCGUGGAAAGCAGAGUCUGGAGAGCGCACAGGUGUUUCUGGGAGAUGCCUGCUCUGUUCUCCGCCACCGCAGUGCUCCGAAGACACCUCCCACUGCAGUCUGCCUAAACAACUCACCUUGUUCGUACCUGCAGAGACACCUUCAUCCCGCUGGAGAGUCUCCUGGUAAAGCAGUACCGCAGUCGCUGGCGUGCGGCACUCUGGCUGAACUCGGGGGUCUGGGCCUCAGCCCCGAACCCGAGGAAUCGCGUCUGCUGCCACUGUGUCCAGCGACAGUGUGCACGCGUCCGCUUCUUGUGAACACCUGAGCGUCGGAGGGUAUCCAGCCCGCUGGGGGGGACUGACGUGUAGGCUGGUUUCAUAACUUGGCCAGGUGCACUGUUUUGUCCUCCCCCCGAGAGAGCAAGCUCACUAGAGCCUGUAAAUAAAGUGUGUUAUUUAUUACACGUCGCCGCAGCCCGCGAGGGUGAGCUGUCCUGCGGGUGGGGUUUGUGUGAGGCCGGUCUAACCCCGAGACCUGCUCUCCCGUUGGGUGCAGCAGGCAGGCCUUCUGUGCUCGCCGGAAAGGCAGUGUUGCCACUGUUUCAGCAAGAAUGAAGCAAUAUACACCUGAGAUUCCCCUAAGGGGUGGGAGCUGAAACGUGCCCCUCCCCCGUCCCACCUCCACCCCGGUGUCCAGACAGCAGGGGACACAGAGGAGGAAGCCUGUCCUCUCCAUAGCCCCGGCCUCGGGUCCAGCUGAUUCCUGUGCUCUGCCCCCUGCUCUUAUGAAGAGGCCGUUUUUAAAGUGAGAUAAUCUUUUACUACAGAGAACAAGUGUCGUGUCUUUAAAAACCAGAAUCCCAGCACCUUGCGUCGGAGACAGAAAUGCCCACAUAGCGCCAGAUGUGACUCUGUGAGCUGUGCCCUUCCACUGCAUCGGACCGUCCGAUGUCCCCGAGCUGGGCGGCUCGGGCCUCGUGGCCCCCAUGGUCCUCGGCCCACGGCCUUACUCUCAGGCUCCCCGGCUCGGCCGUUACCUGCUCAGCGGGUGUGCCUGGGGCCCGACUUGAACUGCCCACACUCGACCUUGUUACGAGAACUGCCAACUUCCUGUACUUAGCAUUGUGUUCAUUAGUGCUAGGGCCAGAAAAGAUUGUCUCUAGGGUUUUUUGGUAAGCCCUGUUUUUACAGUAGUAUCUUUCGAUGAUGCGUAAGACAUUGCAGUGGGAAGCAGUCCAGUUCGAGCGUACUGAAGUUUGCUGUCUCGAGCAAAUUCUAACUCAGGAACCAUUCAUCACCUGGUCUCUCCAGCACUUUGUGGCGGCAGUGUUGCCGCCAGCGUCCUGGGCCGGGGCUCUUGCAGAGCCUGCCUUACCUAUUGGUUUUAGCACCCCUUCUCCUGAAGGGGUGACUGGUGACAUGCUUGUGUAAUGCGUUACCUUUUCUUCUCGUAGAUCCAAGGUUUGACUAAGCUUUUGAGGGAGCAGAGAGGAUGCGUCUGAGCAGCUCUUUCUGAAAACCUGUCCUGUCGUAAAUGGACUGCACCCGUUUCUCCGUGUGACCUUCUGAGGGGCUGGGGGGUGGAUGGGGACGUCAGGAAGGGGCCACCUGCCUGCCGGAGUCACCUCUGCUCCCACCUUUUGUGGAUGAGGAGACGAAGCCAUUGCCUCGCCUGGGACGGGAAGCGCUUGGAGGCGUGCGCGGCCCUGGGACGCGCUCUGCGGUGGGAUGCUGCGGCCCACGUGCGCCUCCGCUGUGGACUCCCGAUGACCCCCCCACGCCCUGCCCUCGUUGCUCGGACACGCGGAGUCCCCAUUCACAGCUGUGGGGACACUUCGCGAAAUGCCACAGGCGGUGUCCUGGCCUUGACUACUCAUGCUACAUUGUUGUAAUUAUUAAACUAUUUUUCUUAUGUUACAGA
Orcinus orca (killer whale) is the source of this 5154-nucleotide RNA transcript. It is a transcript of the gene named Rho guanine nucleotide exchange factor 7, with no coding region annotated. Lineage: Eukaryota; Metazoa; Chordata; Mammalia; Artiodactyla; Delphinidae. The transcript has 23 exons. The record is from RefSeq and is a predicted model, not a curated record.